CGCCAUUGCUCCACUUACCUUUUCCGGCCAGUUCCUCGUCCGGGAGAGUUUUGCGGACGGUUUACAGGGGAUUAUUGUGGUCUUGACGUUUUUCAUCCUUUGUCACGACUCUGAUUCACAUAGACAGUGACGCACGGAGAGCCUGGAGAGGAGACGCACCGCAUCGUGUCCACGCUCGCCUUGGGUUUGGCGGGUGCAUUGCGGAUUGAGAGCUGCUGCAGCCUGCCAGGAUUCUCCUCCAGGCCUCUGGGACUCCCCCACUGACUGAGAUGCCAAUUUGCAGAAGACUGCAGAUGCCAUUCUGGGCUCCCCAUCUUUCAUGUAAUACCUGUGUAUUUGGAAGAAUCAGGAGAUCGGGAGGCAAGAAGAACCCAAGGCAGAAGCUGAUGGUGCCCACACAUCUCUCCUCUGCUCACCUGAAGUCACCUGUGCAGCUCAAUGGGAAGUUCCCAUGCCGGGGGAUGGCUAAGCCCAUCAAGCAUCACAUUUUCCUCUGCCUCAUGCUGGGAGCACACUACUCUGUGGGGAGGCCAGUAGUGUCCUGGAGUUAAAGCCCAGGAGCAAACUUCAGGUCAGUAAGACAGGAUUGGAUGAAUCAAAACCUCGGCUCCCUAAUGCCUGAAGUCUUACUCUUGGCUGCGCCACUAUCCAUUGUCAGCUUCGCUGGAAUGCUUUAUGCUCUUUGAUAAACACAGGUUUAUUCCCAGCUUUGUUUUCGGAUGCUUACCUGUUUGGGCAGUGAGGUCUAACUUCGGAUUGAACUUUCUCAUGCUCAAUCUCAGGCUAGCUAUGAGGGUAUUUGUGACGUUUGAGUAAAAGUCUGCCGCUCAUUUUUAGUUCAGCAUGAUGAAAAAGUGUAUGUUGGAAAACUGAAAUUGUUCAUUUUGUGGUAAAUGGUUAAUUCCAAGAAAAAAAAACACCUGAGUGUUUCUCAGGUGACUGAGGUCCCCGUGGGCCGGAGCACCAGUCACCCAUGGUGCCAACCCUCACUGACACACCCGCAUUGGCUUUCCCUCCACCCAUCCCACUGGCCCAUUUGGUCACCACGCAUCCUGAGAUUGCUUCCUGAAUCAACUACCUGUACACAGUUCCUCAUUCAAUAGGUGUUUUGGAAGGAACUUAAACCACAACAGCAUGUCUUCUCAAACAAUGGCAACCCAUUCAUUCCCACCAUACCACCCACUGCCCUACGUCACAUCCUCACAAGUCCCUGCAGAGAAACAUCUGUGUCAGACACGCUCUUGCUCGCCCCCUGCCUCCCCUCACUGCCCCCUGAUGUCCGUCUGGACCCAUUUCAACAUCUUUCGUCCCAGUCUUGGCCUUCCUAGAAGAACCUUUCCUGGCCUUUCUGCCUGCCUACGACUUUAAGACCCAUGACGCCGGUCCUUGAUGUAUCUAGCAAAGUGAUUUGCCAACAUUGUAAGUUCAUGUCUGCUUUUCCUCAUGACCAUUUCUCUGUUUAAUUGCCUCAUUAAAGCCAAGUGUAUAUCAAUGAUCCUAUUAGAGGGUUCAAGAAAGAAAUGCACCCUUGGGUUAACCUGGCCAUGACCC
This is a long non-coding RNA of Vulpes vulpes (red fox), 1551 nucleotides long. The record is from Ensembl. Lineage: Eukaryota; Metazoa; Chordata; Mammalia; Carnivora; Canidae.